This 595-nucleotide ribosomal RNA is filed under the name uncultured eubacterium WD204. RNAcentral's name for it is "bacterial SSU rRNA". It matches the Rfam family "Bacterial small subunit ribosomal RNA", at positions 9 to 597 of the family's 1533-position model. The record is from RNAcentral.
GAGUUUGAUCAUGGCUCAGAUUGAACGCUGGCGGCAUGCCUUACACAUGCAAGUCGAACGGCAGCACGGGGGCAACCCUGGUGGCGAGUGGCGAACGGGUGAGUAAUACAUCGGAACGUGUCCUGUAGUGGGGGAUAGCCCGGCGAAAGCCGGAUUAAUACCGCAUACGAUCUGUGGAUGAAAGCGGGGGAUCCUUCGGGACCUCGCGCUACAGGGGCGGCCGAUGGCAGAUUAGCUAGUUGGUGGGGUAAAGGCCUACCAAGGCGACGAUCUGUAGCUGGUCUGAGAGGACGACCAGCCACACUGGGACUGAGACACGGCCCANACUCCUACGGGAGGCAGCAGUGGGGAAUUUUGGACAAUGGGCGAAAGCCUGAUCCAGCAAUGCCGCGUGUGUGAAGAAGGCCUUCGGGUUGUAAAGCACUUUUGUCCGGAAAGAAAACCUCGUGGUUAAUACCCGUGGGGGAUGACGGUACCGGAAGAAUAAGCACCGGCUAACUACGUGCCAGCAGCCGCGGUAAUACGUANGGUGCAAGCGUUAAUCGGAAUUACUGGGCGUAAAGCGUGCGCAGGCGGUUCGCUAAGACAGAUGUGA